UAUUCUUUUGAAAGAUUAUCAUUUCCCGAUAAAAAAAGAUCUAUUCUUAAUCUAGUAGUUAGCUUUUACUUUCAAUGUUGAAUUAUUGAUUGGAAAUUUUAGUAUAGAGACGAAACGUCUUCAAUUUUUUUGAUAUCUGGAUUUAACCUAAAUGAAUUUAGUUCUUAAAUUAACCAAAGAGUUAUAAGAUUCUUUGGAGUUAGAAUUAUAGUCCCUAAAAUCAAACGGAAUAAUUUCUUCCUUUUUAAUAAUUUAAUCGUAUAUAUUUCUACUUUUAUCUAUUUAAUAGGUUUAUACUAAUCUUAUUUUGUUUUUUGAUUAGUUAAUAAUGUUUAAAUUAGUAUUUCUGAUUUAAGAAAUCAAAAAAAGGAACUCGGCAAAAUUACUCCUCAACUGUUUACCAAAAACAUAGCUUGGAGUAAGUUUUGUUCUAAGUGAUACCUGCCCAGUGAAAAAUUUUAACGGCCGCAGUACACUGACUGUGCUAAGGUAGCAUAAUAAAUUGGCUUUUAAUUGAAGUCGGGUAUGAAAGGAGUUAUGGGGAGUGUCUGUCUCUUUACGAUUUUUAAAAGUUACUAAGGAAGUGAAAAUUCUUCCAUAAUUUUUGUAAGACGAGAAGACCCUAAGAAUUUUUAUAAAUUAAAAUUGUACUAAUUUGUAAGUUUUUGUUGGGGCAACAGAUUUGGACAACCAAAUUUUUAUAAAUUUUAUAAACCAAAUUAUUUUAAAUUAGAUAAAAUUACCUUAGGGAUAACAGCAUAAUUAAAUUUUUAGAUUGUGACCUCGAUGUUGGACUAAGGACUUAAAUAAAUAGCCUUUAUUUAAGCUGGUUCUGUUCGAACUAUUCACCUUA
This 853-nucleotide ribosomal RNA is filed under the name Schileykula scyphus enteroplax. Its description in RNAcentral is "partial 16S ribosomal RNA". The stretch from base 351 to 597 matches the Rfam family "Archaeal large subunit ribosomal RNA", at positions 1784 to 2143 of the family's 2987-position model. The record is from RNAcentral. Lineage: Eukaryota; Metazoa; Mollusca; Gastropoda; Stylommatophora; Orculidae.